RNAcentral lists this ribosomal RNA (454 nucleotides) under uncultured bacterium. RNAcentral's name for it is "bacterial SSU rRNA". It matches the Rfam family "Bacterial small subunit ribosomal RNA", at positions 29 to 523 of the family's 1533-position model. The record is from RNAcentral.
AACGAACGCUGGCGGCAGGCCUAACACAUGCAAGUCGAACGCUCCGCAAGGGGAGCGGCAGACGGGUGAGUAACGCGUGGGAACAUGCCCUUCGGUUCGGAAUAACUCAGGGAAACUUGAGCUAAUACCGGAUACGCCCCGAACCAAAUUUGGGGAAAGAUUCAUCGCCGGAGGAUUGGCCCGCGUCCGAUUAGCUAGUCGGUGAGGUAAUGGCUCACCGAGGCGACGAUCGGUAGCUGGCUGAGAGGAUGAUCAGCCACAUUGGGACUGAGACACGGCCCAAACUCCUACGGGAGGCAGCAGUGGGGAAUAUUGGACAAUGGGCGAAAGCCUGAUCCAGCCAUGCCGCGUGAGUGAUGAAGGCCCUAGGGUUGUAAAGCUCUUUCGUCAGGGACGAUAAUGACGGUACCUGAAGAAGAAGCCCCGGCUAACUUCGUGCCAGCAGCCGCCGUAA